Molecule: ribosomal RNA, 411 nt
Filed under: uncultured Actinomadura sp.
Lineage: Bacteria; Bacillati; Actinomycetota; Actinomycetes; Streptosporangiales; Thermomonosporaceae
Description: partial 16S ribosomal RNA
Rfam family: Bacterial small subunit ribosomal RNA
Source: RNAcentral
UGGGGAAUAUUGCGCAAUGGGCGGAAGCCUGACGCAGCGACGCCGCGUGGGGGAUGACGGCCUUCGGGUUGUAAACCUCUUUCAGCGGGGACGAAGCCUUUCGGGGUGACGGUACCUGCAGAAGAAGCGCCGGCUAACUACGUGCCAGCAGCCGCGGUAAUACGUAGGGCGCGAGCGUUGUCCGGAAUUAUUGGGCGUAAAGAGCUCGUAGGCGGUUUGUCGCGUCGGAUGUGAAAGCCCACGGCUUAACUGUGGGUCUGCAUUCGAUACGGGCAGACUAGAGGCAGGUAGGGGAGCAUGGAAUUCCCGGUGUAGCGGUGAAAUGCGCAGAUAUCGGGAGGAACACCGGUGGCGAAGGCGGUGCUCUGGGCCUUGCCUGACGCUGAGGAGCGAAAGCGUGGGGAGCGAACA